RNAcentral lists this ribosomal RNA (610 nucleotides) under uncultured Legionella sp. RNAcentral describes it as "bacterial SSU rRNA". It matches the Rfam family "Bacterial small subunit ribosomal RNA", at positions 224 to 826 of the family's 1533-position model. Lineage: Bacteria; Pseudomonadati; Pseudomonadota; Gammaproteobacteria; Legionellales; Legionellaceae. The record is from RNAcentral.
GAUUAGCCUGCGUCCGAUUAGCUAGUUGGUGAGGUAAGGGCUCACCAAGGCGACGAUCGGUAGCUGGUCUGAGAGGAUGGCCAGCCACACUGGAACUGAGACACGGUCCAGACUCCUACGGGAGGCAGCAGUGGGGAAUAUUGGACAAUGGGGGAAACCCUGAUCCAGCAAUGCCGCGUGUGUGAAGAAGGCCUGAGGGUUGUAAAGCACUUUCAGUGGGGAGGAGGGUUGAUUGGUUAAGAGCUGAUUAAUUGGACGUUACCCACAGAAGAAGCACCGGCUAACUCCGUGCCAGCAGCCGCGGUAAUACGGAGGGUGCGAGCGUUAAUCGGAAUUACUGGGCGUAAAGGGUGCGUAGGUGGUUUGAUAAGUUAUCUGUAAAAGCCCUGGGCUCAACCUGGGAAGGCCAGAUAAAACUGUUGGACUGGAGUAUAGGAGAGGGUAGUGGAAUUUCCGGUGUAGCGGUGAAAUGCGUAGAGAUCGGAAGGAACACCAGUGGCGAAGGCGGCUACCUGGCCUGAUACUGACACUGAAGCACGAAAGCGUGGGGAGCAAACAGGAUUAGAUACCCUGGUAGUCCACGCUGUAAACGAUGUCAACUAGCUGUUGG